Molecule: ribosomal RNA, 387 nt
Filed under: uncultured bacterium
Lineage: Bacteria
Description: bacterial SSU rRNA
Rfam family: Bacterial small subunit ribosomal RNA
Source: RNAcentral
GACGAACGCUGGCGGCGUGCUUAACACAUGCAAGUCGAGCGGUAAGGCCCUUUCGGGGGUACGACGAGCGGCGAACGGGUAGAGUAACACGUGGGUGACCUGCCCUCAGCUCUGGGAUAAGACCUGGGAAACCGGGUCCAAUAACUGGAUAUGACUCCAUGACGCAUGUUGUGGGGUGGAAAGCCUUGUGCGGCUGAGGAUGGGCCCGCGGCCUAUCAGCUUGUUGGUGGGGUGANGGCCUACCAAGGCGACGACGGGUAGCCGGCCUGAGAGGGCGACCGGCCACACUGGGACUGAGACACGGCCCAGACUCCUACGGGAGGCAGCAGUGGGGAAUCUUGCGCAAUGGGCGAAAGCCUGACGCAGCGACGCCGCGUGAGGGAUGAC